CUCUUCGAUCCGGAGAUCAUGUCCAAGAUCUUGGCCGGGCUGGACAUGGACUACAAUCCAGUCGUCUCGGCCCUUGCAGCUCGGGUGGAGCCGAUCACCGUCCAGGAGCUAUAUAGCCAGCUCCUGAGCUUCGACG
Non-coding RNA from Triticum aestivum (bread wheat), 136 nucleotides. NCBI's taxonomy places the organism in Eukaryota, Viridiplantae, Streptophyta, Magnoliopsida, Poales, Poaceae. The record is from Rfam.